UACGGAGGGUGCAAACGUUGCUCGGAAUCAUUGGGCGUAAAGCGCACGUAGGCGGUCCGUUAAGUCGGGAGUGAAAUCCCUCGGCUCAACCGAGGAAGUGCUUUCGAAACUGGCAGACUUGAAUACUGGAGAGGAUCGCGGAAUUCCCGGUGUAGGGGUGAAAUUCGUAGAUAUCGGGAGGAACACCAGUGGCGAAGGCGGCGAUCUGGACAGAUAUUGACGCUGAGGUGCGAAAGCGUGGGGAGCAAACAGG
Molecule: ribosomal RNA, 253 nt
Filed under: uncultured bacterium
Lineage: Bacteria
Description: partial 16S ribosomal RNA
Rfam family: Bacterial small subunit ribosomal RNA
Source: RNAcentral